UGCAGCAAAAUACCUCACUUUUCUGGUUAGGGGAAGAACAGAUUUUGGGAUACCCUACAAAAAUAUAGAAGUUGUGGUGGAAUAUUCAAAACGUGAUUUCUUUAACAGUUUUUUUUUUUGAAAAACAUUCUUCAUAAUAUACAUGUAUCAGGUUUAAAUGUAGAACAACUAGGUACAGGAAGUCAUUCUAUAUAUCCUUAAAAUUGAAACUUUGCAUUUUUAACAUUCUUGUGGGAAGAAAAUGUGAAGAAACGAAAGGCAAUGUUGCAGAGCCUCAUGAAAUUGUACCAAGGAUACCUAAGGAUUGCAUGCAGUUUUAAUAUUUUUAAUGUAUGAUAUUUCAUUAGAAAUACGUUUUGUUAUUUAAAAGAUUGAAAAAGAAUGCCUCUUAUUUUCAUGUCAAAUUUAACUGUUUUCUCUUGCAGUAUAACUUUAUCUUUGUUUACUUGGAAGGACUUCCGCGUCAAAUGGCCUGCAGGCUAGUUGGAAAGUCGCAUUGGUGUAGAUUUUAUAUCCAUUUAUCGCACAAGUUCGCUCUUAGUUUACGCUGUCCUACUAGCGGUCUAAACCUGACCGGAAUGCAUCGCUGGCUGAACUAAACGAACCUCUCAAGCGCGGGAGUCUUGGGGGGGGGGAAACAGACGAGAUUCCCCACCUGCCAAUAACUGAAGCUUUUAUCCCGCUUCCAGUUACGAUUGCCGUGUAACCACUUUGGUUCGGGCGGUAGCAGUCAGAGUCCCGCCCCGCCCCCGCGUGGCUCGUGCGCGUUGACGCUCGCAUGACGCAGAUGGCAGGCGUGCCGGCGGUGACUUGGGGGCCCCUCCUCCAGAAGAUGGCGAGUCCGUGCGGGCGGCAGAAGUGCUCCAUCGAGAGGCGCGGCUUCCGCCACCAGCUCGACUCGUGGCGACACCGGCUGCUGCGCUGUGUGGCCCCAGUUUCCAUUUGGGUGUACUUUCCCCCUCUUGUGUAAACAAAAGAUAUGAAGGAAAUGACUAAACUGUGAAGGUUAAUCACCUAGUCAUCCAGAUUAUUUUUGGAGGCAAUGUAGCAGAAGUUGAAAGAACUGGCACUAUCUGAUUUGGAAAAGAAUACUGAUGAAACAAAUCCUGUCUUCAGAGAAAAGUAUUCAGUUAUGCAGGACAGAUGAAGUUCAGGAAAGGCCUCUGGCAAAAGAGUGACAAUGAGGUUAAUAUUAAGCGCCCUAUGUUCCUUUGCCUGACAUCUGGUAGUACUGUAUUGGUGAACACACAACUAGGAAGGUACAUAAAAAUGUCAAAGUUAUUAAUUUGUUGUGCGUUGUUUAGCUAGCAGAUCUCUGAAAGUCAUAAAAAUUGAAUAAUAGGAAACAGUGCACCAAAAUGUCAGAAAUCUAGCAUAAAUUUAUCUUUACAUCAGAUUCCCUCAAGAUUGUAUACAUUGACAAAAGUAUUUGACAAAAGAGUCUUUUAUUACAAUUAUCCAAGGUUGUAUCUCCAUGACAUUUAUCAGAAGUGAGACAUUAAUUCUUAGAUAAAUAAUUAGAUUAGGAAAAAUUGUAAUUUUUUUAGAAAUUGUUUCAAGCUAUCUAAGAAUGAAAUCUCAUUUCCUCCUUUAUGUCUGAUAAGCAAUUUUAUAAAACUUGUAGAACUAUUAAAUAUUUGAUUAUGAAAGACUGUAUAGUGCUGAUCUGCUUUGUAAUUUUUUUAAUUCUAUUGCGGUCUAUUCUAAUGGGAAACAUGACUUAGUUAAAAAAAAAGAAGUCUUUUUCACUGGCAGUAAUUUAUAGAUUACUUAUAGAUUAACACUAUAUGGUGAAUCUAAUACCUCAAGAGAGAUAUUCCAGAGAGUUGAGAGUGGACUUCAGAAACAUUAAAUGUAUCUUAUAACUGAGAAGUGAAUGAUUUAACUUAAAAAAGCUACAUUCUGAAAUAUUUUAAUAGAGCGAUAACUUAUAGGAAGUUAAAAAGAGAAAUUGGUAUUGCUGUUGAUGCAUUGUUAUUAACCAAGAACUCCUCAAUAUGUAAAAUAUGCGACAGCUGAUAACCUUAAGUGUAAAACAAUUAUGUUUACAUAAUUGUGGUCUUCAGUAACAGUUAUUCUCAUGAACUCCUAUUUUCAGAGUUCCGUUAUUUCUUUGCAUCAAAUUUGCAUGCUUUUGUAAAGCAGUGAAAAAUGUUAAAGCAAAUUAAAUUUCAUAAAAUGCAAAGUUGUAUGUUUUAAGCACUCAGGAACUUAUAUAUACUAUAGUUAAGGGAACAAUGUAUAUGUAAAAAUACAUUGCCAUUUCAUCAAAUGUGAAGUGACCAAUGUAUUUAAAAGUGUCUUUGUCUUUAGCAGACACAAAAAUGGUAAUUGGAAAAAGGGUUGGGUUCCAUCAUGAAUGUGUUUCAGAGGGAAAAGCUGCAGUGUGUACAUGAAUGUGCCUUUUAUAAGCGACACGCACACAUUCUGCUAAACAUAAUAAAGUAUCUCAUAAAGUUACCCUUAGAUUAAAGAUGGUUCUGAAUAAAUAGCUUGCUUGAAUAUUUUAAUGUUGUGCAGGAUUUUCUAUAGAUAAUGAAAGAAAAUCCUGUCUUACAAAUCCCUCUACUAAAAAUAGACAGUAUUGCAUUUCUUUUUUCCCCUUUGUAUGGUUAGAUGUUUCUUUGUUUAAACAAAUAUUCCGUCAGAUGGUAUGUAGUAAUACAAUAUCUUUUAAAUCUUGAAGAUAGCCCAUGUUAUGUCAAAUAGUUUCUGCAUUUGUGUCUAUGUGGUCAGUAUGAAUCAAUUCCUUCUUGAUGGCAUAAAAUCAUUAUGUUGUCAGAUCUCAAUAUUUAUAUUCUAAAAUUUUACUUUGCAGUAUACUGUUACCUUACAUGGAUUUUACCACUUUUCUCUGAGGAAGUAUAUAUACCUGUGUAUAUAUUGGAUCAUAACAUUCCUCACAUAUAAUUAAGAUAAAUCAGAAAAGCCUGGAACACAGAUAAGAAAUUUUAGUGCUGAAGGUCUGAAUUCCAAUCCUUCUGAAUUGUAUGAUAUAAGGUUACUAGUGAGGGGGAGGGGCCAUGUGUGACAAAGUCAAACUGUAAAGAUCUCAGAAAAAAUUUUCAAACUAAUAUUCUCAAUAGAUUCUAAAUAAAAUACAUUUACAAAAUGAUAGAGAAUCAGUCUAUCAGAGGUAAUUGGUCUGUCGAUCAAGGAAACCUUUUUUGAGACACAGUACAGUUUUUGAAGCUUGCUAUCUGUUGUACUUUAUUUUUCCAGGUUGUUUUUAAUUGUGUGCUGAAAAUCUUAUGAAGAGAUUUACAUAAAGCCACCUAGGCUAUAGUGCUGUAUUGUCUUUUGUUAUAAGAUGAACCAUAUGUGUUAACCAGAAUAAUAUGUAACACGCUGCCAUUGAUUCAAACCCAUAUAAUUGUAUUGUACCAUUUGUUUUAAAUCAAGGUAGCCAGGGGGUGUUUUCUGCCAAAACAGAGGCUAAGGAAUUGCUAGUCAAUUUUUCAUAAUUUUUCACUUAGAUUCUGGUGGAAAGUCAAGUGAACCUCCAGUCUUAUUUCGAAAGUAUUUAUUGUUGAACUGUUUCCAUUAAAACAAUAGUUUAUUCUGACAAAAAGAGCUAAAAUGUGUUUUUCUUUUGUAAAUUCUGGGGCUAUUUUUUUUAUACUUGAUGGAAAUAAAAUCAAUGUAGAAAAAAUUGUCUGUGCCAUAUAGCUGGAAAUUUAGGUAGAAAAGUAAAUAUCUUAAUAGGAAUGUGCACCUUUUGCUUCCUAAGCACGCUUAUUGCAUCUUUCUGAGAAGAAAUGUAGUUUCCCCCUUUUAAAAGUUCUGUAACUACAAUACAAGGACCAUGUGUAUGAAAGUGAAUGAAGGUUUCUAUAGAAAAUGUUCAUGGUUAAUUUUACUCAGUGUAGUGAAGCUAGAGUAUUUUAUUGUGGCUCAGAAAUGAAACAUCUCUACUCCUGCAGUUUUCUUAUCUCUCACUGCUCCUGGUAUAUUGGGAUGUUUGGGGGGGAGGGAGCAUUUUCACUGUCUGUUGAAUUCCGAUUGCGUAUCAUUGUCAUGUUUUUCCUUCAUGUCUCCCAAAAUCCAUUUGUAUUUUUGUUCUUGCUAAUGUUUGUAGCAGUACCCAAGUAGUGCCAUCUGUGAAUUUAACUAACAUGCUGUUUACCCUUU
Molecule: long non-coding RNA, 4131 nt
Organism: Crotalus tigris (Tiger rattlesnake)
Lineage: Eukaryota; Metazoa; Chordata; Lepidosauria; Squamata; Viperidae
Exons: 3
Source: RefSeq, a predicted model, not a curated record